AGAGUUUGAUCAUGGCUCAGGAUGAACGCUAGCGGCAGGCCUAAUACAUGCAAGCCGAACGGCAAGAUUUGUAGCAAUACGAAUCCUAGAGUGGCGUAAGGGUGCGUAACACGUAUGCAAUCUACCCUCAACAGGAGGAUAGCUCCCCGAAAGGGGAAUUAAGACUCCAUAAGAUCACACGAAGGCAUCUGAGAGUGAUUAAAGUACAAGCGGUUGAGGAUGAGCAUGCGUCUGAUUAGUUAGUUGGCGGGGUAACGGCCCACCAAGACGAUGAUCAGUAGGGGAACUGAGAGGUUGAUCCCCCACACUGGCACUGAGAUACGGGCCAGACUCCUACGGGAGGCAGCAGUAGGGAAUAUUGGACAAUGGGUGCAAGCCUGAUCCAGCCAUGCCGCGUGCAGGAAGAAGGCCUUCUGGGUUGUAAACUGCUUUUGCCGGGGGAUAAAAUAGUCUUGCGAGACGAAUUGAAGGUACCCGGUGAAUAAGCCACGGCUAACUACGUGCCAGCAGCCGCGGUAAUACGUAGGUGGCAAGCGUUGUCCGGAUUUAUUGGGUUUAAAGGGUGCGUAGGCGGUCAAAUAAGUCAGUUGUGAAAUACGGCAGCUCAACUGUCGAGGUGCAAUUGAUACUGUUUGACUUGAGUAUUGUUGAGGUAGGCGGAAUGGACGGUGUAGCGGUGAAAUGCUUAGAGAUCGUCCAGAACACCGAUAGCGAAGGCAGCUUACUAAAGAAUAACUGACGCUGAGGCACGAAAGUGUGGGGAUCAAACAGGAUUAGAUACCCUAGUAGUCC
This 792-nucleotide ribosomal RNA is filed under the name uncultured bacterium. RNAcentral describes it as "bacterial SSU rRNA". It matches the Rfam family "Bacterial small subunit ribosomal RNA", at positions 8 to 796 of the family's 1533-position model. The record is from RNAcentral.